GUUGCAAUGUGAUCCCUGCAAGAGAAGAUGUCUGCUGCUGGCGUCUCUGUACUGUUCUUCUACCAGCUGCAGUGGGGAAGAUCUGAGCUGGUAUGCCUUGCACUUGUAUGCAACAAGGAAAAUUCCAGGCACGUGAUACUGCCUAAGUGCCAAGCUGGAGAUCUAUGGAAAGCCUUACUCUUCCAUCAUGAAACCUUAAGAAUGGAACAACUUGACACAAUGAAGAACAUUUCAGUGAAGAUAUUAAAGCAGGCUAGAAUUAGUUUGAAACAAUGUUCUCCUAGCAACAACCUAAAUAACUUCUAAUAGUGAAUCUACCCUUCUACAAGCUACAAUAUUAUAGCAAUAGUAAAAGUAUAAGAAUGGGAAUAAAGCAAAAUAAAAGGAAAUCUAACUAUGAAUUAAUUCUAUGAACAUGGAACUUGUAAUAUUUUCUCAUCCCUGCCCAUCUCAGAGUCUCCCUUAACUGUUCAUUAGCUAGUGAACACCAAGAGGUGCCUGAACACUGGAUAACUGGU
RNAcentral lists this long non-coding RNA (518 nucleotides) under Cricetulus griseus (Chinese hamster). RNAcentral's name for it is "lncRNA (ENSCGRG00000026444.1)". Lineage: Eukaryota; Metazoa; Chordata; Mammalia; Rodentia; Cricetidae. The record is from RNAcentral.